RNAcentral lists this ribosomal RNA (97 nucleotides) under Alloalcanivorax xenomutans. Its description in RNAcentral is "partial 16S ribosomal RNA". It matches the Rfam family "Bacterial small subunit ribosomal RNA", at positions 1 to 92 of the family's 1533-position model. The record is from RNAcentral. Lineage: Bacteria; Pseudomonadati; Pseudomonadota; Gammaproteobacteria; Oceanospirillales; Alcanivoracaceae.
GAACUGAAGAGUUUGAUCAUGGCUCAGAUUGAACGCUGGCGGCAGGCCUAACACAUGCAAGUCGAGCGGAAACGAUGGGAGCUUGCUCCCAGGCGUC